RNAcentral lists this ribosomal RNA (273 nucleotides) under uncultured eubacterium Wineub10. RNAcentral's name for it is "partial 16S small subunit ribosomal RNA". It matches the Rfam family "Bacterial small subunit ribosomal RNA", at positions 49 to 313 of the family's 1533-position model. The record is from RNAcentral.
UAAUACAUGCAAGUCGAGCGAAUGGAUUAAGAGCUUGCUCUUAUGAGUAGCGGCGGACGGGUGAGUAACACGUGGGUAACCUGCCCAUAAGACUGGGAUAACUCCGGGAAACCGGGGCUAAUACCGGAUAAUAUAUUGANCUGAUAGUUCGAAAUUGAAAGGCGGCUUCGGCUGUCACUUAUGGAUGGACCCGCGUCGYAUUAGCUAGUUGGUGAGGUAACGGCUCACCAAGGCAACGAUGCGUAGCCGACCUGAGAGGGUGAUCGGCCACAC